This 1098-nucleotide small RNA is filed under the name Histoplasma ohiense. RNAcentral's name for it is "hypothetical lncRNA". The record is from RNAcentral. Lineage: Eukaryota; Fungi; Ascomycota; Eurotiomycetes; Onygenales; Ajellomycetaceae.
AUCUAUCGCUGCCAACCUAUCUAUCGCUGCCAACCUAUCUAUCGCUGCCAACCUAUCUAUCGCUGCCAAUUUAUCUACCACUGCCAAUCUAUCUAUUGCUGCUAAUCUAUCGCUGCUGUCAAUCUAUCUAUCACUGCUAAUCUAUCUAUCGCUGCUAAUCUAUCGCCGCUGCCAAUCUAUCUAUCGCUGCCAAUCUAUUGCUGCUGCCAAUCUAUCUUUCGCUGCUAAUCUAUCGCCGCUGCCAAUCUAUCUUUCGCUGCUAAUCUAUCGCCGCUGCCAAUCUAUCCCUCGCUGCUAAGCUAUCCCUCGCUGCUAAGCUAUCCCUCACUACUAAGCUAUCUAUCACUGCUAAUCUAUCGCUGCCAACCUAUCUAUCACUGCCAAUCUAUCUAUCGCUGCUAAUCUAUCGCUGCUAAUCUAUCGCUGCUAAUCUAUCGCUGCUAAUCUAUCGCUGCUAAUCUAUCUAUCGCUGCUAAUCUAUCGCCGCUGCCAAUCUAUCUAUCGCUGCCAAUCUAUUGCUGCUGCCAAUCUAUCUUUCGCUGCUAAUCUAUCGCUGCUGCCAAUCUAUCUUUCGCUGCUAAUCUAUCGCCGCUGCCAAUCUAUCCCUCGCUGCUAAGCUAUCCCUCGCUGCUAAGCUAUCCCUCACUACUAAGCUAUCUAUCACUGCUAAUCUAUCGCUGCCAAUCUAUCUAUCACUGCCAAUCUAUCUAUCGCUGCUAAUCUAUCGCUGCUAAUCUAUCGCUGCUAAUCUAUCGCUGCUAAUCUAUCGCUGCUAAUCUAUCGCUGCCAACCUAUCUACCGCGGCGAAUCUAUCUAUCACUAUCAUUACUAGUUCAAAAUAGAACUAGAGCAUAAAUACACUAAACUUCUUUUGAUAGGUAAUGAUUUUUGGUAACACUCAUAGCAUUAUAUCAUCUAUAUAGGGUAAAUCAUGGUCCCAUUUGGUCCCAUUUUAACAAAAUGGGACCAAAUGGGACCAGAAUCAGUAAUUUAUAAGAAGAACAUGACCUGGGACUAGAUUUAUAAUAUAAACAGUGUAAAGUGACUAAUUUAAUAAACACUAUAUGAGACCAGAACUAAGAAAUUUGAUAAUGGGAC